CUUUAGCCCUGAUCGAAACGGCAUCCUUUUCUUUUUUCCUUUAAAAAAGAAAAGAUAUAGUGUAGAGCAGGUACAAUG
Molecule: small RNA, 78 nt
Filed under: Flavobacterium sp. 5
Lineage: Bacteria; Pseudomonadati; Bacteroidota; Flavobacteriia; Flavobacteriales; Flavobacteriaceae
Description: Flavo-1 RNA
Rfam family: Flavo-1 RNA
Source: RNAcentral